CCUACGGGCGGCUGCAGUGGGGAAUAUUGCACAAUGGGCACAAGCCUGAUGCAGCCAUGCCGCGUGUGUGAAGAAGGCCUUCGGGUUGUAAAGCACUUUCAGCGGGGAGGAAGGCGUUAAGGUUAAUAACCUCGGCGAUUGACGUUACCCGCAGAAGAAGCACCGGCUAACUCCGUGCCAGCAGCCGCGGUAAUACGGAGGGUGCAAGCGUUAAUCGGAAUUACUGGGCGUAAAGCGCACGCAGGCGGUCUGUCAAGUCGGAUGUGAAAUCCCCGGGCUCAACCUGGGAACUGCAUUCGAAACUGGCAGGCUAGAGUCUUGUAGAGGGGGGUAGAAUUCCAGGUGUAGCGGUGAAAUGCGUAGAGAUCUGGAGGAAUACCGGUGGCGAAGGCGGCCCCCUGGACAAAGACUGACGCUCAGGUGCGAAAGCGUGGGGAGCAAACCGGAUUAGAUACCCUGGUAGUC
Molecule: ribosomal RNA, 465 nt
Filed under: uncultured Klebsiella sp.
Lineage: Bacteria; Pseudomonadati; Pseudomonadota; Gammaproteobacteria; Enterobacterales; Enterobacteriaceae
Description: bacterial SSU rRNA
Rfam family: Bacterial small subunit ribosomal RNA
Source: RNAcentral